UUUUUUUUUUUUUUUUUUUUUUUUUCUUU
RNAcentral lists this non-coding RNA (29 nucleotides) under Prorocentrum micans. Lineage: Eukaryota; Dinophyceae; Prorocentrales; Prorocentraceae. The record is from RNAcentral.